Molecule: ribosomal RNA, 465 nt
Filed under: uncultured bacterium
Lineage: Bacteria
Description: partial 16S ribosomal RNA
Rfam family: Bacterial small subunit ribosomal RNA
Source: RNAcentral
CCUACGGGAGGCAGCAGUAGGGAAUUUUCCACAAUGGACGAAAGCCUGAUGGAGCAACGCCGCGUGAGUGAAGAAGGGUUUCUGCUCGUAAAGCCUUGUUGGUAGUGAAGAAAGAUAGAGGUAGUAACUGGCCAUUAUUUGACGGUAAUUACUUAGAAAGUGACGGCUAACUACGUGCCAGCAGCCGCGGUAAUACGUAGGUGGCAAGCGUUGUCCGGAUUUAUUGGGCUUAAAGCGAGGGCAGGCGGUACAAUAAGUCUAAUGUGAAAGCCUACGGCCUAAACCGAGAAUUGCAUCAGAAACUGUUGGACUUGAGUGCAGAAGAGGAGAGUGGAACUCCAGGUGUAGCGGUGGAAUGCGUAGAUAUAUGGAAGAACACCAGUGGCGAAGGCGGCUCUCUGGUCUGCAACUGACGCUGAGGCUCGAAAGCAUGGGUAGCGAACAGGAUUAGAUACCCCAGUAGUC